UCUUUGUUAGAAGGCAUCAAAUAAAAUUGGAACGAUACAGAGAAAAUUAGCACGACCCCUACACAAGGAUAGACAUGCACAAAGAACUUUAAUACAAGUAA
Molecule: non-coding RNA, 101 nt
Organism: Capsicum annuum
Lineage: Eukaryota; Viridiplantae; Streptophyta; Magnoliopsida; Solanales; Solanaceae
Source: Rfam